RNAcentral lists this ribosomal RNA (767 nucleotides) under Philantomba monticola (Blue duiker). RNAcentral describes it as "partial 12S ribosomal RNA". It matches the Rfam family "Bacterial small subunit ribosomal RNA", at positions 47 to 1357 of the family's 1533-position model. The record is from RNAcentral. Lineage: Eukaryota; Metazoa; Chordata; Mammalia; Artiodactyla; Bovidae.
ACUUACACAUGCAAGCAUCCACACCCCGGUGAGAAUGCCCUCUGAAUCUCCAAGACCAAGAGGAGCGGGUAUCAAGCUCACGUCCUGUAGCUCACGACACCUUGCUUAACCACACCCCCACGGGAGACAGCAGUGACAAGAAUUAAGCUAUAAAUGAAAGUUUGACUAAGUUAUAUUGAUUAGGGUUGGUAAAUCUCGUGCCAGCCACCGCGGUCAUACGAUUAACCCAAGCUAACAGGAAUACGGCGUAAAACGUGUUUAAGCACUAUACCAAAUAGAGUUAAAUUCUAAUUAAACUGUAAAAAGCCAUAAUUAUAAUAAAAAUAAACGACGAAAGUAACUCUACAAUAGCUGAUACACUAUAGCUAAGACCCAAACUGGGAUUAGAUACCCCACUAUGCUCAGCCCUAAACACAAAUAAUUUUAAAAACAAAAUUAUUCGCCAGAGUACUACCGGCAACAGCCUAAAACUCAAAGGACUUGGCGGUGCUUUAUACCCUUCUAGAGGAGCCUGUUCUAUAAUCGAUAAACCCCGAUAAACCUCACCAAUUCUUGCUAAUACAGUCUAUAUACCGCCAUCUUCAGCAAACCCUAAAAAGGAACAAAAGUAAGCGCAAUCAUAACAUAUAAAAACGUUAGGUCAAGGUGUAACCUAUGAAAUGGGAAGAAAUGGGCUACAUUUUCUACUUCAAGAAAACCCACAUACGAAAGUUAUUAUGAAACUAAUAACCAAAGGAGGAUUUAGUAGUAAACUAAGAAUAGAGUGC